UACGGGGGGGAGCAAGCGUUGUUCGGAUUUACUGGGCGUAAAGGGCGCGUAGGCGGCCACCGCAAGUCACUUGUGAAAUCUCCGGGCUUAACCCGGAAAGGUCAACUGAUACUGCGGGGCUAGAGUGCAGAAGGGGCAACUGGAAUUCUCGGUGUAGCGGUGAAAUGCGUAGAUAUCAGGAGGAACACCGAUGGCGAAGGCAGCUCGCUGGGACGGUACUGACGCUGAGACGCGAAAGCGUGGGGGAGCAAACAGG
This 256-nucleotide ribosomal RNA is filed under the name uncultured bacterium. RNAcentral describes it as "partial 16S ribosomal RNA". It matches the Rfam family "Bacterial small subunit ribosomal RNA", at positions 524 to 776 of the family's 1533-position model. The record is from RNAcentral.